Patella vulgata (common limpet) is the source of this 729-nucleotide long non-coding RNA. RefSeq lists it as uncharacterized. The record is from RefSeq and is a predicted model, not a curated record. The transcript has 6 exons. NCBI's taxonomy places the organism in Eukaryota, Metazoa, Mollusca, Gastropoda, Patellidae.
UGUAAUAUUAGGCCUAAAGGGAAAAAGAAGAUUGAGUGGAAAUGCUCCCCGAUAGACUGUAUGAAAAAAUGGCUAUGUCAUGUCCUGUCAGUGAAAAUGCAUGUGAAGGAACUAGACCAGCUAUGGAAGCCAUGUUACCAGAGAAAGAGGCUAAAGAUUAUCAUCAUAUGACAGAUGGAGUUAACUUUACCCAGAAAUCGGUUUCAAAUUUAGAGUUAACAGAGUUAGAUGGUGAUGUAGGAUAUUCUAGUCACGGAACACAAGAUGACAGUUCUCAAAAAUCAGCUGAUCAAAUUAACCAUUGGCAGGAUUUUAAUCAAGAUGAGUUAAUGCACGGGAACAACGAUUUAGACGACCUGUUAUUUCAUUUUAAUAACUUUUUCAAGGAGAAAUUUGACAGUGAGCUAGAGAAUUUCCAGAACUCUAUGAGAAGUAUGUUAAGAGAACAACAGAUUCACAUUCGACAGAUUGUUCAUUCUACUAGUUGCUCAGACAGAGACGAGAUUGUGUCAGAUUCUCCACAACAUCAUAUGGAAACCUGUGAUGUGCAUAUAGCAAGUACCACAAAUAAUUCAAAUCCAGAGGAUACGGCGUUUUCAGAGAAUGAAAAUCAUCUGGAAGUGUUUAAAGAGGAAUCCAAGAGUGAGCUUAUACAAGAACUGUUGUCUUUAUCAUGUGGCAUAACAAGAAUAUUACAUGAUGCUAAAUACAGACUUUGAUAAAUCCACA